RNAcentral lists this ribosomal RNA (253 nucleotides) under uncultured bacterium. RNAcentral's name for it is "partial 16S ribosomal RNA". It matches the Rfam family "Bacterial small subunit ribosomal RNA", at positions 524 to 776 of the family's 1533-position model. The record is from RNAcentral.
UACGUAGGGGGCAAGCGUUGUCCGGAAUUAUUGGGCGUAAAGAGCGUGUAGGCGGCCAGAUAAGUCCGCUGUGAAAUCUCGAGGCUCAACUUCGAGCUGUCGGUGGAAACUAUCUGGCUAGAGUCCGGAAGAGGAGAAUGGAAUUUACGGUGUAGCGGUGAAAUGCGUAGAUAUCGUAAGGAAGACCAGUGGCGAAGGCGGGUCUCUGGACAGUUCCUGACGCUGAGGCACGAAGGCCAGGGGAGCAAACGGG